GAAAUUGAUAGUUAUGCCAGGCUAUGGCAUGUUCUGAUUAUCAGUGAAAAAUCCCUGGAGUUGCAUCUUCUGGCUCGCAGACUGAUCUAGACAAACGGCAGAUUUCUUCAUAAGAAAGGUGUUUCUCAUCUGUAAUGACUCUUCUGGAUGCUUCAAGCCAUAUCUCUACAGGAGAUUCAUGUAUACACUGAUAGUUUCCUGAAAGUGUGGAAAUUACGAUCCUUCCAAGGUAUAUAAAAAAAGGUAAACAGUGGUGAGAAUACAUAUUUAGUAUCACAUAUUUCUGGAAAUCUUACUAUGAUGAGUUUACACAUCAAAUCUUGAGAUUCUUUCACCUGUCUAUUGCCUCCUAGUGCAUUCUAUAUUAUAUUUCCAAUAGCCUCUACAACAACAUAAAGCUGCAAAGGAUUUCACUGCUUUUGACUCCUCUACUUUGAUGCAAUCCCUGAAUGGGUCUCCCAGGCUAAGGGAACAGGAUUUAGUUGCAGGUGUGAACAUUUGUGUGGUUUUCUUCACUUCUCUUUCAACCCACCUCCUGUCCCACAGGUAGAGUUGCUUGUGCCACACACCUCUUAUGUGACUGUAGUAAGUCACUUAUCUCUUCAAAAAACUGUGUUUCCUUGCUCCAAUAUAUCAAAUUGGGGAAAAAAACCCCAAUGUUUUCUUUCUUAAGCAUGCCUACUUGGGCAGAAAUUUUG
This is a non-coding RNA of Cyanistes caeruleus (blue tit), 698 nucleotides long. The record is from RefSeq and is a predicted model, not a curated record. NCBI's taxonomy places the organism in Eukaryota, Metazoa, Chordata, Aves, Passeriformes, Paridae.